CCUACGGGCGGCAGCAGUGAGGGAUAUUGCACAAUGGGGGGAACCCUGAUGCAGCGACGCCGCGUGGGUGAAGAAGCGCCUCGGCGCGUAAAGCCCUGUCAGCAGGGAAGAAAAUGACGGUACCUACAGAAGAAGCCCCGGCUAACUACGUGCCAGCAGCCGCGGUAAUACGUAGGGGGCAAGCGUUAUCCGGAUUUACUGGGUGUAAAGGGGGCGCAGACGGCGAUGCAAGCCAGGAGUGAAAGCCCGGGGCUCAACCCCGGGACUGCUCUUGGAACUGCGUGGCUGGAGUGCAGGAGGGGCAGGCGGAAUUCCUGGUGUAGCGGUGAAAUGCGUAGAUAUCAGGAGGAACACCGGUGGCGAAGGCGGCCUGCUGGACUGCAACUGACGUUGAGGCCCGAAAGCGUGGGGAGCAAACAGGAUUAGAUACCCCAGUAGUC
RNAcentral lists this ribosomal RNA (440 nucleotides) under uncultured bacterium. RNAcentral describes it as "partial 16S ribosomal RNA". It matches the Rfam family "Bacterial small subunit ribosomal RNA", at positions 338 to 795 of the family's 1533-position model. The record is from RNAcentral.